CCCCGCCGCGCACCUGCGGCAGCGCCGCCGCUCCCGCCCGCCGAACCGCCCGGCCGGGGCCGCUCACGGCCCCGCUCGCCGCAACUGCGCUCACACACCGGUCAGCAUAUGUGUGAUGGCUAAAGGUUAAUAACCUGUAAAAGAGCUGAUUCUGGAGAUCUGAGUGAAAUGGCACUUUUGGAAUUGUACUUUUAACCACACCACGCUGGGGAAAGUGCAGAAGCUCUGUAUAUGUGCAUAUGAGAGGAAUUUGUGCCAUGCAGAUGAGUUUGCAGACACGGUGACAGAGAGGGACCACAGGUGAGUCCCCAGCGAUCUGCUUUGCCAAGAGGAUUUUUCCAGCCCCUAAUCACAGAAAAGCCCUCCAUCUGCUCCUCAGAGUUGGCGAUUCUCAUCUGUUUCAAGUGAAAAUAACCAAGAAUAUAAAAUGGCAGGCAAAAAAGAAUUCCCAGGCAAGUAACCGUGUUGUCCUGCAUUCCCCCCAGCCAGUAUUCCCCGGUGCUGAGGUCCCGGUCCCUGGGCGAGUGAAAAGAGCUGCAAAGGGUUAAGCCGCUGACUUCCUUGCUAGGCAAAGUUUGAAGAAGAAUAUGUCUGAGGCUGGAUACGCUGCAGCCCCGCGUUUGAAAUCUGUCACACUCACUUAGGAGCGCUGCAUCUCUGGUUGUCACCGAUGAAUAAUGAUCGCACGGCGAUAAGAUCGCUCGGCGGCGGUGCGCCGGGGCCGCCUGGGGGAAGAGAAGACAGGAAAUUGUGAGGCGUUUAGCCGCUUCAACGGGGUGUUCUUCAGUGUCAUCGGUGGGUGUCAGGGUCAAAUGUCCGGCUGGAGAGCAGUUUGAGAAGAUAAUUUCUUUCCUCCUUUCCUUGAGAGCAACCUUGGGUGUUGGCGACCAUUGGCAUCUAUGGAAAACAGAGACCUCGGUGGUGAUCCUUAAAACAGUACCAUGCUGGAGCCCAGCUGUGCUGCCACUUUCUCCCCUUUCAACCUGCCGGACCCGGUGGGCUUUGGGUGACCUACCGAGAAGGAACCCACUUCCGCAGGAACAGGCAGACCAGAUCUGGCAGAUAGUGAAUAUGAGGACUUUGCUGACUUCAGAAAGCUGACAGAAGCCAACAGACUUCAGUGAAAUACCCCUCCAAGCACAGAGACUUUUGGUAGCUUUAAAGUAACCUGUUGUUCAUUCGCAAAGACAUGGCUACUGGCUCUUUCAGCGCACAUGGAGGAAGGCAACAAACAUUGUAACCCUGGCUAAUAAGACUGUGUUUUCCUUUAUCAGAACUAGGAGGUAGGCCAAUUAUAAAAGGAUUAUUUUCUGCUUAGCCUCCAGGACUUUAACUCUUGCCUGAACACUGGACAUAAAUAGAAGCCAAUUUUAAUGACCUGAGAUUUUGUUACCUGUGCAUUAUUAUUGUUAUCAGCUCUUAAACAUUUGCUAC
This 1434-nucleotide long non-coding RNA is filed under the name Lonchura striata (white-rumped munia). RNAcentral describes it as "domestica (Bengalese finch) lncRNA (ENSLSDG00000003341.1)". Lineage: Eukaryota; Metazoa; Chordata; Aves; Passeriformes; Estrildidae. The record is from RNAcentral.